Molecule: ribosomal RNA, 228 nt
Filed under: Triticum aestivum (bread wheat)
Lineage: Eukaryota; Viridiplantae; Streptophyta; Magnoliopsida; Poales; Poaceae
Description: partial small subunit ribosomal RNA
Source: RNAcentral
AUGAAUGUCUUGUGUUGGAACUUUCGUGGUUUGGGUAAUCCCGCGACAGUUCGUGAAGCCCGUGAACUCACGGCUAAAUUUACCCCGGAUGUGCUAUGUCUUGUUGAAACUCAAAUAAGUAAAGAGCGUGCUGAAAUUUUAGCUCAGUCGUUUGGUUUUGAUAGUUCUUUUGUGGUUGGAAGUACGGGGAGGAGCGGAGGCAUUGUAAUAUUCUGGAAUGAUUCAAUA